CCCCCCCCCCCCCCCAUGCCACCGCCUCCAGCGCCAUAGUCGAUUCCAUCGUCAUAGCCACCACCUCCCCUCAAACCAUGGAGUGGAGUGGUGGCGAGAAAGAGAGCAUGGGAUUGAGAAAAUAAAUCAAGCGAGAGAGAUAGAGAGAGCCAGAUAGAGAUAGAGAUAGAGAUAGAGAUAGAGAAGAAUAAAGAGGAAAAGUAGACUUGAUCAGAGAGAAACGUAAAUAUGUGGAUAUUUAUACCCAAUGGUUGUCUAUUUUCUUGCAUGCAGGCUGAAAAGUCACCUUGACAGUUUUAUCUCCCCUUUCCAAAUGGCUUUCGUUUUCGGAAGAAAUAUCCAU
This 343-nucleotide long non-coding RNA is filed under the name Erythranthe guttata (spotted monkey flower). RNAcentral's name for it is "long non-coding RNA (EGUT_LNC002684)". The record is from RNAcentral. Lineage: Eukaryota; Viridiplantae; Streptophyta; Magnoliopsida; Lamiales; Phrymaceae.